RNAcentral lists this unclassified non-coding RNA (146 nucleotides) under uncultured fungus. Its description in RNAcentral is "sequence contains ITS1, 5.8S rRNA gene". The record is from RNAcentral. Lineage: Eukaryota; Fungi.
CAAGUCGCACUUUUAGUGCGUUACCGUCUCCUCACGGGGAUAUCCUUUGUCUAUGAGCACCCUUUUUCCUCAGCAGGCCUGCCUGCUGGGAGACCUUUAAACCAAACCUUUUUACAAUAACUGUCUGAAUAGUAAUAAAUUAAUUA